UACAGAGGUCUCAAGCGUUGUUCGGAUUCAUUGGGCGUAAAGGGUGCGUAGGCGGCGCGGUAAGUCGGGUGUGAAAUCUCGGAGCUUAACUCCGAAACUGCAUUCGAUACUGCCGUGCUUGAGGACUGGAGAGGAGACUGGAAUUUACGGUGUAGCGGUGAAAUGCGUAGAUAUCGUAAGGAAGACCGGUGGCGAAGGCUAGUCUCUGGACAGUUACUGACACUGAGGCACGAAGGCCAGGGGAGCAAGCGGG
This 253-nucleotide ribosomal RNA is filed under the name uncultured bacterium. RNAcentral describes it as "partial 16S ribosomal RNA". It matches the Rfam family "Bacterial small subunit ribosomal RNA", at positions 524 to 776 of the family's 1533-position model. The record is from RNAcentral.